GGGGUUUGGGAACAUGAUGGGCUAUAAACAGGACCAACCUGGGCAAGGUGAAUGAAAGGUCUCCAUUAUCCUCUUCAGCUGUGACCAGCUGCCAAUUGGAAACAGCUGCUGUACAAGCCGGGCAGACUGGGGCAGUAGGCAGGCUUUGAGAGAAAAAUCACUAAGUGGGAAAUGGAGGAAGCAGUGAGGGCUAGACAGGAAUGGUCUGUAGCUGCUUUACACAAGGUCCUUGAGCUGUACCCAUGUGCCCUUAUCCUUGUGGAAGGGAAAGCAAUGGCCCUGGAGGCAGAAGGACUGACGACUAGCAAAGCUGGAUGCACAAGCCCCUGGAUUGGAGGUGGGGAUGUGAACUUUUUACUACCUGAGAGGUUUCUGGGGUGAUUGUUACUCCAGUCCUGGCACACGGAGGUGUCCUGGAUCCUGGUAGAGCGCUUUGUUCAGGGGUGCUACAGGCUGGAGUUGAGUGAUGUGAAUAGGAAGCUCUUCUGCACGGCGUAGUCUCCAUUGCCCCUAUUCUAGGGGGAGAAAAAGCCACCUUUGAAGCCCAGGACAACACAGACAGUGCCUGAAGCCAUGACUUGCUGUGCCUCUGUCAGGACAUGCAGUCCAGGGAGGAAGGAGCUGGAUAUACUUCGUUACUCAUCAACUCAAAAUCUGAGUGGGAUGCAGAGAGGCUUGAGGAGACCAAGUCUCCUUCCCUGAGCAGCAUACCAGUCACACACCUGUGAGAAGUGGGGCAUUGCAGCCCUAGGACACGAAUCUGCUGCAAUGGGCAAGGACUGAAGGCCCUUAGGCUUGCUCCUGGCUUAUUUUUGGCUAGGACUGGCACCUGCCCUUUUCCAGGAGUUGCUUAGAAAUUGCAGCCCAGAGAAAUGGCGUGGAGCAAGCACUGGCCGUGGCUGGUGACAAACCGAGUGCACCGAGGGAGACGGCAAUGCAAAGGAAUAAUGAGGUCCUCGGUUCUCAUUUGAGACGAGAAGGAAAGCCCUGCCAGUGCCAGUCUGACUGUACUGCUGCCCUGGUCCUGGGAUACAUCCUGGUCUUGGUUCGAUGAGCACAAGAAUGAGAAGUCGCGGCUCGUGACCUGGCCAGCUUGCAAAAAAAUGGGGCGAUACCACCCUUUUUCUGCUGUCCGAGCAACAAGGGAAAGUGGUAUGUAAUUGGUUGAAAGCAGCAAAUUGUUUAAAUAAAGCCACAGUUCAUUUUG
Alligator mississippiensis (American alligator) is the source of this 1207-nucleotide long non-coding RNA. RefSeq lists it as uncharacterized. NCBI's taxonomy places the organism in Eukaryota, Metazoa, Chordata, Crocodylia, Alligatoridae. The record is from RefSeq and is a predicted model, not a curated record. The transcript is spliced from 3 exons.